This 466-nucleotide ribosomal RNA is filed under the name uncultured bacterium. RNAcentral's name for it is "bacterial SSU rRNA". It matches the Rfam family "Bacterial small subunit ribosomal RNA", at positions 329 to 794 of the family's 1533-position model. The record is from RNAcentral.
CGCCAGACUCCUACGGGAGGCAGCAGUGGGGAAUAUUGCACAAUGGGGGAAACCCUGAUGCAGCGACGCCGCGUGAGUGAAGAAGCGUUUCGGCGCGUAAAGCUCUGUCAGCGGGGAAGAAACACGGUUCGCGAGAGCCGCGGACGGUACCCGACCAAGAAGCCCCGGCUAACUACGUGCCAGCAGCCGCGGUAAUACGUAGGGGGCAAGCGUUAUCCGGAUUCACUGGGUGUAAAGGGAGCGUAGACGGCGAGACAAGUCUGGAGUGAAAGGCCGGGGCCCAACCCCGGGACUGCAUUGGAAACUGCGGGACUGGAGUGUCGGAGGGGUAAGCGGAAUUCCUGGUGUAGCGGUGAAAUGCGUAGAUAUCAGGAGGAACACCGGUGGCGAAGGCGGCUUACUGGACGAUGACUGACGCUGAGGCUCGAAAGCGUGGGGAGCAAACAGGAUUAGAUACCCGGGUAGG